UGGAUACCAAAAUAUCAGACCAGGGAUCUGGCUCAGAUGCACAUCUAGCAAAGUCAAAGGAGAAAUUCUAACAUGAUAUCUGAUGUCAGCUCUCUGGUCCAGAAUGAAUGUGUUGGCUUUAGUAAUUUGCUAAACUGCUUCUGGAUUGAAAGAACUAGUUUAAUUUAUUUAUCUAUUCUAAAACCAUCCAUUGUCUAUUUACUAUAUCCUAAGCCCUGGACUUUUGCUUGAGAAUACUAAGAAAAAUAAUACCUGUUUCCUACCUUUAAAAGAAUCAUAGUCUAGGGAGAGAGAGAGACAAAAUCAUGUACGGCCGGCCUCACUAGGAUGUGAUCAGUACUCUAGUGGAGACAAAGAGCUAUAAGAACCUACAAGAAGGAGGGAAUAAUGCUGCAUGCGAGGAAGUGGGAAUUGAGAAAGCUGCUGCAGUGGAAAUGCUGGCCUGCUGUCACCUACAAUAUGCUACUCAGAAGUGGAAGUCCUAUGGCAUAGUUUUGGAUUAUGUUCCUGGAAGCCCAGAAUCAAAGGCCAUGAUGGAAAGAAGGAGUUGGAGGGAAAGCACAAAUCUGGAAAUGAGUAAUUACUCUAAAUAGACUAUUUUCCAAUAAAGUCACUAUGAUAUGUUUGUUGGCAAAGUUGGAAAAGCAGCUUGAGAGCCAAGAUGAGGUAAUUUUUCCUGUCAACUUUGUGAAAACUCCUUAGGAGGGUUGAUUACUUUCGUGCUGUCUUCUGAUUUUUCAGUGUUUGAUUUUGGAAAGUACUCUCUAUUUUAUGAAAAACUCCAUAUUAUUUUAUGAUCAUGAGAUACCCACCAAAACAGGGAUGAUGUCUUUAGGAUCUGCUGCCAGUUGCGCAUACAUUUGAAAUGGGUGAGAGAAGGCCAAUAAGUUUGAAGUUGAAGGUCAGCUUCUUGGGGCCAGAGUUCAGAAAGAAGAAUGAAUUUGGAGGAGGAAAUGGAAGAUGUUCAACACAGGUCAAAGAGCAAGAGUGAAGGGUGGAAUUACCUGAUUUGCUUCAUAUCAUGUUGACUGAAAGAAAGUGACCAAAUUUCAAGACAUUUCUUCUUGGAGAUGAAACCUUUAAAUCUUUCUUCAGAGUAAUUUGGGAUAGAGCUGAAUAGACUGUUCUGGACCCAUGCAAACUAGCUCCCACUUGAUGCCGAAACUGCCCAUCUGGGACUAUACUUCAAGAAGUAGGUUCUGACAUAUGCUUGGGAAGCUUGUAGCUGGAUGGAAAGCUGUCCCACAGAAGGAAGACAAUAAAGGCACACUGGUCCUGCGUGUUCCAACUAGUUUGAAUCCUACUGGACCAUGAGCUCUUUCAGAUGGGAUGGCACCUCGAUGAC
This 1345-nucleotide long non-coding RNA is filed under the name Equus caballus (horse). RNAcentral describes it as "lncRNA (ENSECAG00000046619.1)". The record is from RNAcentral. Lineage: Eukaryota; Metazoa; Chordata; Mammalia; Perissodactyla; Equidae.